GACGAACGCUGGCGGCGUGCUUAACACAUGCAAGUCGAACGGAAAGGCCCUGCUUGCAGGGUACUCGAGUGGCGAACGGGUGAGUAACACGUGGGUGAUCUGCCCUGCACUUCGGGAUAAGCCUGGGAAACUGGGUCUAAUACCGGAUAGGAGCCAUUUUUAGUGUGAUGGUUGGAAAGUUUUUUCGGUGUAGGAUGAGCUCGCGGCCUAUCAGCUUGUUGGUUGGGUAAUGGCCUACCAAGGCGGCGACGGGUAGCCGGCCUGGGAGGGUGGACGGCCACAUUGGGACUGGGAUACGGCCCAGACUCCUACGGGAGGCAGCAGUGGGGAAUAUUGCACAAUGGGCGCAAGCCUGAUGCAGCGACGCCGCGGGGGGGAUGACGGCCUUCGGGUUGUAAACUCCUUUCGCUAGGGACGAAGCUUUUUGUGACGGUACCUAGAUAAGAAGCACCGGCUAACUACGUG
RNAcentral lists this ribosomal RNA (465 nucleotides) under uncultured bacterium. RNAcentral describes it as "partial 16S ribosomal RNA". It matches the Rfam family "Bacterial small subunit ribosomal RNA", at positions 28 to 507 of the family's 1533-position model. The record is from RNAcentral.